GUAGGUGGCAAGCGUUGUCCGGAAUUAUUGGGCGUAAAGCGCGCGCAGGCGGUUCUUUAAGUCUGAUGUGAAAGCCCACGGCUCAACCGUGGAGGGUCAUUGGAAACUGGAGAACUUGAGUACAGAAGAGGAAAGCGGAAUUCCACGUGUAGCGGUGAAAUGCGUAGAGAUGUGGAGGAACACCAGUGGCGAAGGCGGCUUUCUGGUCUGUAACUGACGCUGAGGCGCGAAAGCGUGGGGAGCAAACAGGGAUUAGAUACCCUGGUAGUCCACGCCGUAAACGAUGAGUGCUAAGGGUUAGGGGGUUUCCCGCCCCUUAGUGCUGCAGCUAACGCAUUAAGCACUCCGCCUGGGGAGUACGGCUGCAAGGCUG
Molecule: ribosomal RNA, 373 nt
Filed under: uncultured organism
Description: partial 16S ribosomal RNA
Rfam family: Bacterial small subunit ribosomal RNA
Source: RNAcentral